RNAcentral lists this long non-coding RNA (1509 nucleotides) under Oryctolagus cuniculus (rabbit). Its description in RNAcentral is "lncRNA (ENSOCUG00000032931.1)". The record is from RNAcentral. Lineage: Eukaryota; Metazoa; Chordata; Mammalia; Lagomorpha; Leporidae.
GAUUAAUUAGUAUGUCAGAUUCAGUGCUCUACAGAGAAGAAAAAAGAAAGCCAGGGAAGGAGAUAGAGUGGAGAGGGCUGUUUGGGAAGGCUUCCCUGAGGAGGUGACAUUUAAGCCAAGAUCUAAGGAAGUAAGACGUGGAUAUGGUGGAUAUAUGUGUGGUGGGGUUCGGGCUGGGGGGACAGCACUCCAGACCUAGUGUUCAGGGAUUCCUGAGAUGGCGGUGUGUGUGGUAGUGUGCAAGCAGACCAGUGGGGCUGGGCUGGCAGGAGAGAGGGGAGAACAGUGGCAGAUGAGGGCCUGGCUAAGGCUGGCUGUCUUUGCUGUGGGAACAGCACCCAUGUAGAUACUCAUCAGGACACAAUGGUCUGAUGUCUAGAAACAUGAACCUUACUCUCAGCCCCAUUGGAUGUGUGGUGCAGUGGUUAAGAGAUCGGAGCCUGAAUCAGAGUGAGCACGACUGGUUAUUACUGCGCUGUGGCCUUGUUUUAUUUCUCUUCCUCCUUUGACCGGUCCUCCCCACCCAGCGCCCUUCCCACCCUUGAAUCCCCUCGGCUUUCCCCCGGCUGCCACUUUGCCUGCCUCUGUGGCCUCCAACUCCACUCCACUUAAGAGAACGGGCUGGAGACUGCUGGAGGCUCUGAAGUGAUUUAUUGCUUCGCAGGAACUUCACACAACUUCCCAAGUUGAUUUUUGAGUUUUGAAAAUCAAACAAAGUUCAAAAAGUAAACAUCACAGGUUUGACAUCCCUGCCCGAAGCAGAGGAAAAACGUCUCUUGUUAAGGUUUUUGGCAUGUAACAGAAUGUAUGAGCGUUUUCAGUGUUUUGAUUUUCUUCCCCCGUCACUGUUAUUCCUCACCCCCCAGAGUGAGGUGUGCAGAAAUUAUGUUGGCCGGCUUCCAUGGUGACACUGAAGAGAAGUAAUUUUGCAAAGUAGGUUUCUACUGUGUUAUUUCACAUGCAUGAAACAUCAACAUCUAUGCUGUGUGGCUGUUACCCCUAAACGUAAAGACACAUAAAUGCUUGGAGUCUUUUAUAUAAAUAGACAAGUGGGGGUGAUAUUUUCCUUGGUCUUGUGCCGACGCCGGUAACAAAAGUCUCUCAGUUACUCAGGGCACCUGGGAGCGGGGAAGGAGAAGGGAACAGUUCUGCUCAGUGUUAAGCAACCUUCUUCUCUCCUAUGAAUAACCAUUAAAAGAAAAAAAAAAAAACAGCUCAAAUUUAAAGUCCACUCCCCUCCAACUUAAACUAGGGACCAGAUGAAAAGUGCCCUUUGGGGCUUAGUGUUCAAACAACCAGAAUUAAAAAGCCUGAAUGUCUGUUUUCAAUCUAACUUACGUGGUCGACCACUACAAGUAUUCCCUGUGUCUGUCCAGAGAGUCAUCUAGAACCUUCCAGUCCCAGGAAGCAUGCAGGUGCUUUCAAGAGGUAAGGUUGGGGUAAACAUACUUUUAGCAGCAAAAGCUGGGUGAAGUCUGUCUUGUCGUCCCCCUGUGACCCCAAUCUCCA